CUGGUGGGUUCGUCUCUGUGUUUAUCCGGUUGGGGACCGAAGACUGGAGGCGACUGAUGGAUUCUUUCCACUUCUACUUUGCCCUCUGGUUCUGAGAGACCUGGAGUGUUUGUUUUUUAAGAUUGCUUGUAAUAUGAUUUUGUCAUCACUUUCAGUAUUUUGUAUAUACAGUGUUUGGUGAAAAGGGACUACACUGUCAAGUGUAAGCUAAGGGCUCCUUAAGAACAAUCAGAGGGCUUUUUAUGUUCCCUCCCUCCUGCUCUGGCUGCCUCGCGCUCACUCAGAGCUUCAGGCCCCCACUAGCCUCUAGCCUCGCUGCUGCC
Molecule: long non-coding RNA, 323 nt
Filed under: Vombatus ursinus (common wombat)
Lineage: Eukaryota; Metazoa; Chordata; Mammalia; Diprotodontia; Vombatidae
Description: lncRNA (ENSVURG00010019085.1)
Source: RNAcentral